UAUCCAAGGUGAGCAUGGAGACUGAAAAACUCAAAAAGUGUGUGUUGUCUAUCAGCUUCUUCUCUCGUAUAAACGAGAACGGAGUUAAAUAACAGCACUACAUUU
RNAcentral lists this small nucleolar RNA (105 nucleotides) under Macleaya cordata. Its description in RNAcentral is "Small nucleolar RNA snoR97". It matches the Rfam family "Small nucleolar RNA snoR97". The record is from Rfam by way of RNAcentral. Lineage: Eukaryota; Viridiplantae; Streptophyta; Magnoliopsida; Ranunculales; Papaveraceae.